AAAUGUAGUAUACCAAACUUUGUCUGUAACUGUACAGAUCUAGUCAGAGUUAUCUCCCAUUUCUCAGUCAAUUAUUUGAAGAUAUUUAAUGUUAGUAAAAUAAAAUAACAUGAAUAAUUGUAAUUGGGCAUUUUGCAACUAAAUGGCAUUGACUUGGAUCGAUGUGUACAGUCACAUAACUAUACCAAUUUAAGCAGCAUAUGGUAUACUACAUAUAUAUUUUUGUUUCAUUUAUUUUUUGAAUUUGUUAUAAUUUUAUGAAGUGCAAUUAUGAUAAAUAUUAUAUUUAAGUUUAUAUUUAUUAUGUUACCUGUCUGUAUGGAAAAUCAUAGAAAGUAGUAAUAUUUAUUUGAGUAACUUUGUAAAUAAUCUAUAGAUGGAGACUAGAAUUGUGUACAAUAUAAAUCAUUAUGAAGUUUAAAAUUGUAAUUAUACAAGAAAAUUCACUUUUUACCAUAAAUAAACAGGUAUCAAAUUUCAUGAACAAAAUGUGCUGAGCAGUAUGUUUGUUUUUUUAAGCUUAAACUAAGAAGAGGCCUAUUACUUUUUUUCAUGUGAACUAUGAUAUUUCAUCUCUUUUGUUAAAAUUCAAACUAAUUGGUCUCUCUUGUCUAAUUUAGAUUUUUUUUAUAUAUAUAUAAAUAUUGCCUAGUAAUCUAAAAUAGUGUCAGUUAUCCUGCCUAAGAGUAGGGGUUCUCUCCAGCCACUCCAGAUUUAAAAACUCUAUACAGUGAAACCUGGCUUAACCAAACAUCUUUCAGUUUAUACAGGAUUCAAUUUAGCCAGGUUUCACUGUACUAUAAAAUAUUCAAAUGGUGCUGAAGGUCAAUUAAUCAAUAAAUCAACAUCGAAGGAAUUUUUAUGAUUUAAUCUAAAGCCAUGGAGAUCAGUUUGAAAAAUAUGCAACAACAAAGUGUUCAAACCUACAUAUCUCCGAACCUGUUUGUCAUUUACCUGGUUGACUUAGUUGAAAAGUUGCAUUAAAUAUGGUCAGAUGCUGGUCACCUUGAAAACUGUCAUCGAAACAAAGAACAAAUUUCAUGCACUUUUUGUAACAUCUUAAAACAUGACAAAGUCAAUUCAUUUGUUACUGUUUAAAACAUCUUUAAAUUAUACUAAAUAUUGUGCCAAGGCAGAGACAAAUAUUUUUCAUAGCAAAACAUUCCAUUAAAGAACAAAUAUAGUGCAUUAUUUAAAAAUACAAUUGUGUAUUCAUGUAUUGUACCUGUUUGGUUUUUUUUAACUUUAAGCUUAGCUUUAUUUUCAUAAAUUGUUGAAAUUUUCCAAUUUCAAAUUUGUCUUAAGUAAUUGCAAUUUGAAUGUUUUCCUUUUUAAUUUUGUUUUUCUUGAGAGUUUCUGUGAUAUGUACAUUUUUUGUGAUUUAAUCUUUGCGGCAAUCAUUUUUUUUUGUAAAUACCGCUUUUUGUGAACUCUGUGAUUUAAAUAUUUCCUCUUUAACUGUCAUUUCAAAUUGAUUAUAUGUAUUAAUACAGAAGGUAUGUGGUAUAUUUUACGCAAAAUAUUUGAGCUUUGUGAAUAUUUUUUUAUUGGAGAAAGAUUCUGUGUAUCACAGCGCUGGAAGAGCUUAAAGUUAUAAAGUUUAACAGUGUGAUAUUUUAGUAGGCCACAAGCCAGUUCAUAAUAUCUUUAUAAGAUCUCACUUGCCCUGAAGAUUUUGAAAAGAAUUGGAAAAUAUAUUACUGCUAUCAUGUGAUAUCACCAUCAACAUGUACAUCCAUUGUAUGAAUUCCAGAUUUAAAAUAUUUAUACUUGGAAUUCCCCUAAAUAGAAGUAUCACUAUCCUAACUAUCCUAUAUGUAUAUAUAAAUAUGUUACAUAGACCUGUAAAUUAUACCAUUAUUUCAUAUCAAAUUGUAUAUAUUAAAAGCCGACAGAUAUUCUGUUCUGUUUUCUCUUGCUUCUAUCCAUUUAAUCUUUUUUGUUUGUCUGUAUGUUAACUGGUUUGAUUUGUUGACCAGAUAUAGAAUGGUUGUUUUUCUUUGUGAUACACUGCCAUGUGAUCUUGCUGAUAUUACAUACCUAUAUGUAUAAUACAACCUGUGGAGAUUAAGUAUUUAAAUAAUUACCAAAUAUUCUUAGAUGUGUAAUGGUUUACAGAAAUUUUAUGUUUCUAUCUCAUGACACAGUUGUAUUUUCAAAAAAUGACAGCUUCUCAAGCCGCUUACCCCAAAUUUCUUGCAGUAUGAUAAUUUGAAUCUUAUUUGUGUACACAGUCUGAUUUUACUGGUUGUAUUUUUAUUUUACCCAGCUGUGUACAUGAUAAAUUCUCACUGGUUGUAUAUAUAUCAUUUUCAUGAGGUUGUUUACAUGGUCUAUUUUCCCAGGUUAUAGAUCAUGUGUAUCAGGUUGUGUACAUGUUUAAUCUUUACUGGUUGAGUAUCAUUUUUAUCUGUAAAUUAUUUAAAUAUGGAUGUAACAUUUCCUCUGAUUGGCUGGCAGUGUUUUGUGUAUCAGCUCAUAUAUACAUAAUUUGACAUGUCAUCCUGAUAUUAUCAACGUUUUUUCAUGAUUCUCUACAGCUUCAAAUGGAAUUUAGAAUUAAAUCAUAAGGAAUGACUGUGAUUUUUAUUUUGUCUUUUAGAAAUAACAUAAAAAAUGUGGUGCACACUUAAAAAAUACAACCUUAUGAGGGUUAUUCAGCGUGCACCACAUUAUCAUUUUAUUUCUUCAUAGACAGAAAAAAUAUUACAGUCGUUCCUUAAACGUGCAUGGUCAAUCUUUACUGGUUGUAUAUCUCUGCAGGUUGAGAAAAAGAAAAAAAAUAGUCAUUCCUUAAAUGUGCAUAGUCAAUCUUUACUGGUUGUAUAUCUCCGCAGGUUGUAUAUAUAGUUUGUAUAAAGGAUGUGUAUAUGGUCUAUCAUCACAGGUUUUUAGAUCAUAUGUAUAAAUGUUGUGUUCACUAUAUAACAUUGUACAAUGAUACAUGUAUAUUUAUAUAUAUAUAAACUGAAGAUUAAAAAGACAUUAUUCAUA
Mytilus trossulus (common blue mussel) is the source of this 2994-nucleotide long non-coding RNA. RefSeq lists it as uncharacterized. The transcript has 2 exons. The record is from RefSeq and is a predicted model, not a curated record. NCBI's taxonomy places the organism in Eukaryota, Metazoa, Mollusca, Bivalvia, Mytilida, Mytilidae.